Molecule: ribosomal RNA, 295 nt
Filed under: Burkholderia cenocepacia
Lineage: Bacteria; Pseudomonadati; Pseudomonadota; Betaproteobacteria; Burkholderiales; Burkholderiaceae
Description: partial 23S ribosomal RNA
Rfam family: Bacterial large subunit ribosomal RNA
Source: RNAcentral
GGUCAAGCGAACAAGUGCAUGUGGUGGAUGCCUUGGCGAUCACAGGCGAUGAAGGACGCGGUAGCCUGCGAAAAGCUACGGGGAGCUGGCAAACGAGCUUUGAUCCGUAGAUGUCCGAAUGGGGAAACCCGGCCCUUUUGGGUCAUCCUGGACUGAAUACAUAGGUCUAGUGAAGCGAACGCGGUGAACUGAAACAUCUAAGUAACCGCAGGAAAAGAAAUCAACCGAGAUUCCCAAAGUAGUGGCGAGCGAAAUGGGAUGAGCCUUGCACUCUUUAUUUGUAUUGUUAGCCGAA